UGGGGAAUUUUGGACAAUGGGGGCAACCCUGAUCCAGCAAUGCCGCGUGUGUGAAGAAGGCCUUCGGGUUGUAAAGCACUUUUGUCCGGAAAGAAAACUUCGGGGCUAAUACCCCUGGAGGAUGACGGUACCGGAAGAAUAAGCACCGGCUAACUACGUGCCAGCAGCCGCGGUAAUACGUAGGGUGCGAGCGUUAAUCGGAAUUACUGGGCGUAAAGCGUGCGCAGGCGGUGCUGUAAGACCGAUGUGAAAUCCCCGGGCUUAACCUGGGAACUGCAUUGGUGACUGCAGCGCUGGAGUAUGGCAGAGGGGGGUGGAAUUCCACGUGUAGCAGUGAAAUGCGUAGAGAUGUGGAGGAACCCCGAUGGCGAAGGCAGCCCCCUGGGCCAAUACUGACGCUCAUGCACGAAAGCGUGGGGAGCAAACAGG
Molecule: ribosomal RNA, 429 nt
Filed under: Bacillota bacterium
Lineage: Bacteria; Bacillati; Bacillota
Description: Firmicutes bacterium partial 16S ribosomal RNA
Rfam family: Bacterial small subunit ribosomal RNA
Source: RNAcentral